This 2928-nucleotide long non-coding RNA is filed under the name Canis lupus familiaris (dog). RNAcentral's name for it is "lncRNA (ENSCAFG00040007812.1)". The record is from RNAcentral. Lineage: Eukaryota; Metazoa; Chordata; Mammalia; Carnivora; Canidae.
AUGACAACUGUUAUGAAAAUCAUUAAUUGUUGUCCUCAGAUACUGCUUCUGUCAAGAGCAAUCUGGAGCCAUCAUGCUGAGGACCAUGAAACGAGUGGCAACUUGCUUCUCCCUGCCAGGAAUCAAUUGCUCCGUGCUAGUAGCAUUUACUGUGUCUGUGCCUGUGCAUCCCCAAAACCUGAGGGCAGUUACUUUAAAAUUCAGGAAAACAUCUACCAAUAAUCGGUGGUCCCAUGGAGAGGUUUUCCACCAUAGGAAAAAUCAAGGAGAAGAGGAACUAAAUAUGGAGUGAGAGAAAACUGCUGAGCUGGCUUCUACCAUGAAAGUCAUUAACCAAGUUGGAUUAGUAAACUCUUCCAAAGCCACAUCUGCCCUAUUAAAGCUUUAAGGGCCAUAUGCCAAAGUGAAAAUUAAAUAAAGCAACAAAAAGACUGUGCCCAAAUGAAUUUGGUUUUAUUUUUACUACACAGAGUGAGGCUCUGCACUAUAAAGCAACCACAGAGAGACCUUGCCAAGUUGUGGCGGUUUCCCAGAAUGCAUUAAAAACUCAGGAGUCUCCACCAUCUCCACUAAUGAUGCUAGCUACUGGAUCACAAAAUGACUUCUAUUCUGACUGUUACGGAAAAGCCCAUCUAGUGAAAAUUUCAUCAAGCAGUGUGAAAUUUGCACAUCAAUUUCAGGAUAGUCUGUUAGACAUGGCUUAGAAUCCUGCAACAAUAAAGGUUUUAAAAUGCCUUGUUAUAAUCAAAAAGUCUUAUUCCUGUCCUAAUCAUCUCUUUUGCUUCCAAGUUUACUUAGUGGCUCAUCCCAUAAGAGAAAAAAAAUCUUGGCUCUACAUUUGAUAAAGGACAAAAGAUAUAUAGCUCCACAGAAUUAGAUCCUAUGCUCAAAUGCUGCUAUGAUUGCAAAGAACCUUCCCUGUGUUGUUCAUUGCUGGUGGAACGCAGCAUCAGAACAACUGUAGCCCUAGAAGAGUUUUAAUAUUGCCAAGUAUUGAAGCUUAAAUUAUUUUCAAAUUAUUUUCAUAGUAUAACUUUUGUGUAUCUUCACCAAUUUUGGCAGAUGAUAAAUCUGAACUGUGAAAUAUUUGUUUUGCCUCGCUUUGCUUCUUUCAUCAUUUUUUUCUUUCAAGUAUAUGCAGUAACUCAAACCAGACCCCCAAAUUUUCCUAACAAUCUGUUUCAGUGAAUAAGAAUAAUAAAAAUGAUUUCUAAUUAGUGCAAUAAAUGUUCUUGCUCUCAAGCGCCAAGAAUGGUUUGUUCACCAAAUUAUAAAGACGUUUUUAAACCAAAUUAUCCUUCCCAAUCUUUGUUCUAUAAUCAGUAGAAAAAUCAAAUUGGUAGACUAUUACAUAAAAAAAAUUUCUAAUAUAAACAUUUGGAAAAGCUGGAUGAAAUAUAACAAGUUCAUUUCUCAAUACACAGAAUAGCUUAAUAAAACAUAAGGGUAGAAUCUUAGGUGUUAAAACUCGAGAGAGUUCUGAAAACCAAUGCAGUGUGUGUAUGUGUGUGUGUGUGCGUGCGUGUGUGUGUGAAAUAAUACUGGAGGUAUUCAGGGAGACAGCAUCAGUCUUAUUAAUCUAGGGACUUGGCUUUUUAUGUUCAAAUAGGGACUAAAAAGUAGUGGCAUUGGAUUCCCCAUGGUCUCAAUGCUUGAGACCCCAGCAAAAAGUCAUAAUAUUUGAAUCACUGGCCACUCCAUGAAUUGGUGGCUUUAGAGUAUAGGGGAAAAAUUUUUAAAUUCCUAUGGAGGGACCCACUCACAACUUAAGCCACACAAAACUAGUGGAAAAGCCAACCUUGCUAAAACUUACUUUGCAACCAAAGGUAACAUAAUGCAUGGAAAAAAAUAUAUCCAAGCAAGACUCAAAAGACAUGACAAAUAAGAUUUGAUCCCAUAGAAUUUUAUGUAAUAGAACAAUAACCCAGUUUCUAGGUAAGCUGGAGUCACUUAUGGCAGACCAAUAUUUUUUACAAGAAUAAUAGGAAAAGCUGGAUAAUAACAAGAAUGAUAUGUUUGGAGAUAGUAUUAGAGGACUACAGAUCAAGGAAAUCCAAGAGGGUCUAGAUUUGGGGGACAGUAGAACCAUAGAAAAAUGAGCUGACUUUUUACAGUUGUCUUUUCUCUAGCCUAGUUGCUGAUUUGGGGAACCAGAUGAAAAGCGAACCAUUCAGAUUUUUCCCGGGCAGAAAAAUUCUUCUAGGAAUGGAAAAAACAUCAGAUUUUAGUGGUCUAAAAAGAUAGAUAAAAUUGGAGACUUGGUGGUUUUCUCCUAUUGACAUUUACCAAAUUAUGAAGCAACACAAGGAAGGAAAAUGAAGGUGUGCCAAAGAGGGAGCUCAGAAAAGCAGAGCAGAAUUGUCUGGGAAACCCAUGUUUCCAGGUAGAAAGUAAGCUAAGGUUCAAAAAGUUCCAAGGAGAGGAGUCCCAGGACCUAAAAUAGGCUCCCAGAUGAAUGCUCUGGAGGGCUAUGACCUAGAGAGAUGAAUGAGGGGUAGACUCCACAAAAACUGUAACCCAGUUUUGAAUCAACUUAACUUCUGAUUGAAUUAAUGUGCUCAGCCCCACUCUAUCAGACUUGUGAAGGAAGAAAUAAGUCCCGAUGGAGGAAUACAAUAAGCUCUGGAUCUCUGUAAUUUAACUUACGUGGUAUCAGGCAUUCAGUCAAAAGUAACUAGACUUUCCCAGCUUUUAGCUACUGUCCACAUUCCUUGGUUUGUGGCCUCACUGCCUUCAAGACCAGCAACCACACGUCUCUAACAUUGCUUCUAUUUUCACAUCUCCUUCUCUUACUCUUAUACCUUCCUCAUCCAUCUUUGAAGGACCUUUGUGAUUUUAUUGGGCCUACUCAAUUAAUCCACAGCAAUCUCAUAAAUAUAUGAGAUUAUAUAUAUCUCAUAAAUAUAUGAGAUAUAUAUCUACACACUC